Molecule: ribosomal RNA, 497 nt
Filed under: uncultured bacterium
Lineage: Bacteria
Description: partial 16S ribosomal RNA
Rfam family: Bacterial small subunit ribosomal RNA
Source: RNAcentral
GAUGAACGCUGGCGGCGUGCCUAAUACAUGCCAGUCGAGCGAACAGAUGAGGAGCUUGCUCCUCUGACGUUAGCGGCGGACGGGUGAGUAACACGUGGAUAACCUACCUAUAAGACUGGGAUAACUUCGGGAAACCGGAGCUAAUACCGGAUAAUAUAUUGAACCGCAUGGUUCAAUAGUGAAAGACGGUUUUGCUGUCACUUAUAGAUGGAUCCGCGCCGCAUUAGCUAGUUGGUAAGGUAACGGCUUACCAAGGCAACGAUGCGUAGCCGACCUGAGAGGGUGAUCGACCACACUGGAACUGAGACACGGUCCAGACUCCUACGGGAGGCAGCAGUAGGGAAUCUUCCGCAAUGGGCGAAAGCCUGACGGAGCAACGCCGCGUGAGUGAUGAAGGUCUUCGGAUCGUAAAACUCUGUUAUUAGGGAAGAACAAAUGUGUAAGUAACUAUGCACGUCUUGACGGUACCUAAUCAGAAAGCCACGGCUAACUACGUG